AACGUAGGUGGCAAGCGUUAUCCGGAUUUACUGGGCGUAAAGCGUGUGCAGACGGGUUGAUAAGUGGUGUAUGAAAUCGCUCGGCUCAACCGGGCAGCGGUAGGCCAGACUGUCAGCCUUGAGCGUGAGAGAGGGACGUGGAAUUCCGGGUGUAGUGGUGAAAUGCGUAGAGAUCCGGAGGAACUCCAGAGGCGAAGGCGGCGUCCUGGCUCACGACUGACGUUCAGACACGACAGCAUGGUGAGCGAACGGG
This 253-nucleotide ribosomal RNA is filed under the name uncultured bacterium. RNAcentral's name for it is "partial 16S ribosomal RNA". It matches the Rfam family "Bacterial small subunit ribosomal RNA", at positions 524 to 776 of the family's 1533-position model. The record is from RNAcentral.